RNAcentral lists this ribosomal RNA (252 nucleotides) under uncultured bacterium. RNAcentral describes it as "partial 16S ribosomal RNA". It matches the Rfam family "Bacterial small subunit ribosomal RNA", at positions 524 to 776 of the family's 1533-position model. The record is from RNAcentral.
UACGGAGGAUGCGAGCGUUAUCCGGAUUUAUUGGGUUUAAAGGGUGCGUAGGCGGACGCUUAAGUCAGCGGUAAAAUUGCGGGGCUCAACCUCGUCGAGCCGUUGAAACUGGGUGCCUUGAGUGGGCGAGAAGUACGCGGAAUGCGUGGUGUAGCGGUGAAAUGCAUAGAUAUCACGCAGAACUCCGAUUGCGAAGGCAGCGUACCGGCGCCCAACUGACGCUGAAGCACGAAGGCGAGGGUAUCGAACAGG